Brachypodium distachyon (stiff brome) is the source of this 548-nucleotide long non-coding RNA. RefSeq lists it as uncharacterized. Lineage: Eukaryota; Viridiplantae; Streptophyta; Magnoliopsida; Poales; Poaceae. The record is from RefSeq and is a predicted model, not a curated record. The transcript is spliced from 3 exons.
CAUAUGUCAGCCUUACGUGAGCUAAUUUUUUGAAGACGUUCCCAGAGCCCGGGCAAAACAUACAUGGAUUAGUAUGUAGCUUAUGAACAACUGCAUAUUAGCCUUCAGAUAAUCAUAGUAAUUAGCAUAAAAAAAAUUCAUAGAGCCCAGGCAGUUGCCGGGCGGUGGCUCCGCCACCGAAUGGAGUUUGUAUCUUAUAAACAGCUACUGUGAAAUAUGAAGUAAUUAGCAAUUACGAAAGGAUUGAUGCAUAGGACUGCUUAGGCAGGUGCCAUGAGCAUAACUGAGGUCCUUGAGGCUGCAUGCCGAUAACAACUAUAGAUAUUCUCCGGAACAAGGCCUGGUCGGCACUGGCAAGACCAUGGUCACCGAGGUCAACCUGGGCCAUGUCAAGGGGCUGAGAAUGGUGGAUGCAGCCUCACAGGAUUUUCACUACACAAGGUUCAAAGCCAUGCAAAAGUUUGCAAGAACCCAAUUCAGCUUGAGUACAAACAGCAGUGACCCAUGUGUCGUGCGCCCCAGGCCCUCAGCAUCUAGUAUAUAUCAAC